CGCAGAGUAGAGCAGUUGGUAGCUCGUUGGGUUCAUAACCCAAAGGUCAUAGGUUCGAGUCCUGUCUCUGCAA
RNAcentral lists this transfer RNA (73 nucleotides) under Caudoviricetes sp. RNAcentral describes it as "tRNA-Met". It matches the Rfam family "tRNA". From Rfam's summary of the family: Transfer RNA (tRNA) molecules are approximately 80 nucleotides in length. Their secondary structure includes four short double-helical elements and three loops (D, anti-codon, and T loops). Further hydrogen bonds mediate the characteristic L-shaped molecular structure. tRNAs have two regions of fundamental functional importance: the anti-codon, which is responsible for specific mRNA codon recognition, and the 3' end, to which the tRNAs corresponding amino acid is attached (by aminoacyl-tRNA synthetases). tRNAs cope with the degeneracy of the genetic code in two manners: having more than one tRNA (with a specific anti-codon) for a particular amino acid; and 'wobble' base-pairing, i.e. permitting non-standard base-pairing at the 3rd anti-codon position. The record is from RNAcentral. Lineage: Duplodnaviria; Heunggongvirae; Uroviricota; Caudoviricetes.